Molecule: unclassified non-coding RNA, 98 nt
Organism: Colobus angolensis palliatus
Lineage: Eukaryota; Metazoa; Chordata; Mammalia; Primates; Cercopithecidae
Rfam family: Y RNA
About the family: Y RNAs are components of the Ro ribonucleoprotein particle (Ro RNP), in association with Ro60 and La proteins. The Y RNAs and Ro60 and La proteins are well conserved, but the function of the Ro RNP is not known.
Source: Ensembl
AGCUGGUCCAAUGGCAGUGGUGCUUACAACUAAUUCAUCAAAACUAGUUAUAGAUUUGUUUCUUCUCCAUUCCCAUUGCUUCACUUGACUAGCCUAAA